RNAcentral lists this ribosomal RNA (484 nucleotides) under uncultured bacterium. RNAcentral's name for it is "partial 16S ribosomal RNA". It matches the Rfam family "Bacterial small subunit ribosomal RNA", at positions 29 to 507 of the family's 1533-position model. The record is from RNAcentral.
AUUGAACGCUGGCGGCAUGCUUUACACAUGCAAGUCGAACGGCAGCGCGGGCUUCGGCCUGGCGGCGAGUGGCGAACGGGUGAGUAAUACAUCGGAACGUGCCCAGUAGUGGGGGAUAGCUCGGCGAAAGCCGGAUUAAUACCGCAUACGACCUGAUGGUGAAAGCGGGGGAUCUUCGGACCUCGCGCUAUUGGAGCGGCCGAUGGCAGAUUAGCUAGUUGGUGGGGUAAAGGCCUACCAAGGCGACGAUCUGUAGCUGGUCGGAGAGGACGACCAGCCACACUGGGACUGAGACACGGCCCAGACUCCUACGGGAGGCAGCAGUGGGGAAUUUUGGACAAUGGGCGAAAGCCUGAUCCAGCAAUGCCGCGUGUGUGAUGAAGGCCUUCGGGUUGUAAAGCACUUUUGGCGGGAACGAAAAGGACUGUGCCAAUACCACGGUUCGAUGACGGUACCCGCAGAAUAAGCACCGGCUAACUACGUG